ACCAACAGAACAGAGACAUAGAACUCAUUCAAACUGAAUGAACAGCGAUAACCAUGCUGUAUGCAGGUCUCCUCACUGCAGUCUUCUAUCUAACCUUUGACUGCAGUCGUGGUGAUGAAAUUAAUCAACUCAAUGACACGAUUAACUCGAAAGUUAGCAGCGACGUGAGGAUAUUCUGUAAUUACUCCCUGAGCAGUAGCGCUAGCAAUGAAAAUCUGUUCUGGUACAAGCAGACUCCAGGCAGCUCUCCUCGAUAUCUGCUUCAUCGCAUAAAAGGUUCCACUGAUGAAUUCCGAUCAGAUGAAACUGAGGCCAGGUUUUCCAUGUCGAUUCCCUUUAACCCGUAGCGGCAAAAUAGGCAUGGAUGGGACAGGCAGAAAGGAAACUCAACAAGUACAUCAUCUAGUGAACAACCAAACAAUGCGCACAUACCUGCGCUUCAAUAUGAAGGCGGACAAGGACGUGCUUGUAUCAAUACCAAGGGAAUCGAUUCACGUUUAAUCACAGUUACGGAUAUGUCGGAUUCAAAGAGGUUUGCUUUUUGUUCAUUUUAUACACGCUGGGGGGCUUUUGCAUGUGUUUUAUUCAAUAGCCGAUUCUAUUUACAAACAUAUUAGGCUCAGAAAAAAUAUUUCAAAUGUCAGUUUAAAUUUAUGGGAUAUUUUCAUAAAAUUCUCCAGCGUGCUUUUAUCAACAUUGCAGUUGCUUUGGCUUACUCCUUCUUUCUGCUCUUUUUAAAAUAAAUGAAUAAAUACAGAAAUCAACCCUAUCCUGCUUAACCCUCAGCCCUCUACACUGUUAAAAUUACAACACAGUGCGGUUUGAGGUUAAAAUCGACGAAGAAUAUUCUGUUUUGGGUAUCAUUAUUACAAGGGUCUCCAAUAGCAACCACGAGAUUGUGUUCCUCUCAAUCUGCUAUUUUUAUUUAAUUAGAAAUGUCGCAAGCAGACAUAAUA
Long non-coding RNA from Polyodon spathula (Mississippi paddlefish), 956 nucleotides. RefSeq lists it as uncharacterized. NCBI's taxonomy places the organism in Eukaryota, Metazoa, Chordata, Actinopteri, Acipenseriformes, Polyodontidae. The record is from RefSeq and is a predicted model, not a curated record. The transcript is spliced from 4 exons.